Molecule: ribosomal RNA, 503 nt
Filed under: uncultured bacterium
Lineage: Bacteria
Description: partial 16S ribosomal RNA
Rfam family: Bacterial small subunit ribosomal RNA
Source: RNAcentral
AUUGAACGCUGGCGGCAGGCUUAACACAUGCAAGUCGAGCGGGGUGAUGGUGCUUGCACUAUCACUUAGCGGCGGACGGGUGAGUAAUGCUUAGGAAUCUGCCUAUUAGUGGGGGACGACAUCUCGAAAGGGAUGCUAAUACCGCAUACGUCCUACGGGAGAAAGCAGGGGAUCACUUGUGACCUUGCGCUAAUAGAUGAGCCUAAGUCGGAUUAGCUAGUUGGUGGGGUAAAGGCCUACCAAGGCGACGAUCUGUAGCGGGUCUGAGAGGAUGAUCCGCCACACUGGGACUGAGACACGGCCCAGACUCCUACGGGAGGCAGCAGUGGGGAAUAUUGGACAAUGGGGGGAACCCUGAUCCAGCCAUGCCGCGUGUGUGAAGAAGGCCUUAUGGUUGUAAAGCACUUUAAGCGAGGAGGAGGCUCUUUUGGUUAAUGCCCAAGAUGAGUGGACGUUACUCGCAGAAUAAGCAUCGGCUAACUCUGUGCCAGCCGCCGCAGUAA